GGGCGAAUGGUCUAGGGGUAUGAUACUCCCUUCGCAUACAUCCUAAAUCUGGGAUGAUCUUCCCUAAAUUUGGGAUCAUCGUGCUUGGGAGGGGUCCGGGGUUCAAUUCCCCGUUCGUCCA
This is a non-coding RNA of Xylaria sp. FL0043, 121 nucleotides long. The record is from the annotation of a GenBank genome assembly. NCBI's taxonomy places the organism in Eukaryota, Fungi, Ascomycota, Sordariomycetes, Xylariales, Xylariaceae.